GAUGAACGCUGGCGGCGUGCCUAAUACAUGCAAGUCGAGCGAACGGACGAGGAGCUUGCUCCUCUGACGUUAGCGGCGGACGGGUGAGUAACACGUGGAUAACCUACCUAUAAGACUGGGAUAACUUCGGGAAACCGGAGCUAAUACCGGAUAAUAUAUUGAACCGCAUGGUUCAAUAGUGAAAGACGGUUUUGCUGUCACUUAUAGAUGGAUCCGCGCCGCAUUAGCUAGUUGGUAAGGUAACGGCUUACCAAGGCAACGAUGCGUAGCCGACCUGAGAGGGUGAUCGGUCACACUGGAACUGAGACACGGUCCAGACUCCUACGGGAGGCAGCAGUAGGGAAUCUUCCGCAAAGGGCGAAAGCCUGACGGAGCAACGCCGCGUGAGUGAUGAAGGUCUUCGGAUCGUAAAACUCUGUUAUUAGGGAAGAACAAAUGUGUAAGUAACUAUGCACGUCUUGACGGUACCUAAUCAGAAAGCCACGGCUAACUACGUG
This 497-nucleotide ribosomal RNA is filed under the name uncultured bacterium. RNAcentral describes it as "partial 16S ribosomal RNA". It matches the Rfam family "Bacterial small subunit ribosomal RNA", at positions 28 to 507 of the family's 1533-position model. The record is from RNAcentral.